GGGUUGUGAGGUUAAGCGACUAAGCGUACACGGUGGAUGCCCUGGCAGUCAGAGGCGAUGAAGGGCGUGCUAAUCUGCGAUAAGCGCCGGUAAGGUGAUAUGAACCGUUAUAACCGGCGAUACCCGAAUGGGGAAACCCAGUGUGAUUCGUCACACUAUCAUUAACUGAAUCCAUAGGUUAAUGAGGCGAACCGGGGGAACUGAAACAUCUAAGUACCCCGAGGAAAAGAAAUCAACCGAGAUUCCCCCAGUAGCGGCGAGCGAACGGGGAGGAGCCCAGAGCCUGAAUCAGCAUGUGUGUUAGUGGAAGCGUCUGGAAAGGCGCGCGAUACAGGGUGACAGCCCCGUACACAAAAGCGUAUGUGCUGUGAGCUCGAUGAGUAGGGCGGGACACGUGGUAUCCUGUCUGAAUAUGGGGGGACCAUCCUCCAAGGCUAAAUACUCCUGACUGACCGAUAGUGAACCAGUACCGUGAGGGAAAGGCGAAAAGAACCCCGGCGAGGGGAGUGAAAAAGAACCUGAAACCGUGUACGUACAAGCAGUGGGAGCACCCUUUGGGGUGUGACUGCGUACCUUUUGUAUAAUGGGUCAGCGACUUAUAUUCUGUAGCAAGGUUAACCGAAUAGGGGAGCCGGAGGGAAACCGAGUCUUAAUUGGGCGUUAAGUUGCAGGGUAUAGACCCGAAACCCGGUGAUCUAGCCAUGGGCAGGUUGAAGGUUGGGUAACACUAACUGGAGGACCGAACCGACUAAUGUUGAAAAAUUAGCGGAUGAC
This 774-nucleotide ribosomal RNA is filed under the name Salmonella enterica subsp. enterica serovar Muenchen. RNAcentral describes it as "partial 23S ribosomal RNA". It matches the Rfam family "Bacterial large subunit ribosomal RNA", at positions 1 to 808 of the family's 2925-position model. The record is from RNAcentral. Lineage: Bacteria; Pseudomonadati; Pseudomonadota; Gammaproteobacteria; Enterobacterales; Enterobacteriaceae.